CCUACGGGUGACAGCAGUGGGGAAUAUUGCACAAUGGGCGAAAGCCUGAUGCAGCAACGCCGCGUGAAGGAAGAAGGGUUUCGGCUCGUAAACUUCUAUCAACAGGGACGAAAGAAAUGACGGGACCGGAAUAAGAAGCACCGGCUAACUACGUGCCAGCAGCCGCGGUCAUACGUAGGAUCCGAGCAUUAGCCGGAGUGACUGGGUGUAAAGAGUUGCGUAGGUGGCAUAAUAAGUAGCUAGUGAAAUCUGGUGGCUCAACCCUUCAGACUAUUAUCUAAACUGUUAAGCUCGAGACCGUUAGGGGUAACUGGAAUUUCUCGUGUAGGCGUGAAAUCCGUAGAUAUUAGCAGGAACACCAAUCGCGUAGGCAGGUUGCUGGGACGGUUCUGACACUCAGGCACGAAAGCGUCGGGAGCAAACUGGAUUAGAUACCCUAGUAGUC
This 445-nucleotide ribosomal RNA is filed under the name uncultured bacterium. Its description in RNAcentral is "partial 16S ribosomal RNA". It matches the Rfam family "Bacterial small subunit ribosomal RNA", at positions 338 to 795 of the family's 1533-position model. The record is from RNAcentral.